RNAcentral lists this ribosomal RNA (827 nucleotides) under uncultured bacterium. Its description in RNAcentral is "bacterial SSU rRNA". It matches the Rfam family "Bacterial small subunit ribosomal RNA", at positions 71 to 870 of the family's 1533-position model. The record is from RNAcentral.
UCGGAGUGCUUGCACUCUGUGAAACAAGAUACAGGCUAGCGGCGGACGGGUGAGUAACACGUGGGUAACCUGCCCAAGAGAUCGGGAUAACACCUGGAAACAGAUGCUAAUACCGGAUAACAACAGAUGAUGCCUAUCAACUGUUUAAAAGAUGGUUCUGCUAUCACUCUUGGAUGGACCUGCGGUGCAUUAGCUAGUUGGUAGGGUAACGGCCUACCAAGGCGAUGAUGCAUAGCCGAGUUGAGAGACUGAUCGGCCACAUUGGGACUGAGACACGGCCCAAACUCCUACGGGAGGCAGCAGUAGGGAAUCUUCCACAAUGGACGCAAGUCUGAUGGAGCAACGCCGCGUGAGUGAAGAAGGGUUUCGGCUCGUAAAGCUCUGUUGUUGGUGAAGAAGGACAGGGGUAGUAACUGACCUUUGUUUGACGGUAAUCAAUUAGAAAGUCACGGCUAACUACGUGCCAGCAGCCGCGGUAAUACGUAGGUGGCAAGCGUUGUCCGGAUUUAUUGGGCGUAAAGCGAGUGCAGGCGGCUCGAUAAGUCUGAUGUGAAAGCCUUCGGCUCAACCGGAGAAUUGCAUCAGAAACUGUCGAGCUUGAGUACAGAAGAGGAGAGUGGAACUCCAUGUGUAGCGGUGAAAUGCGUAGAUAUAUGGAAGAACACCGGUGGCGAAGGCGGCUCUCUGGUCUGUUACUGACGCUGAGGCUCGAAAGCAUGGGUAGCGAACAGGAUUAGAUACCCUGGUAGUCCAUGCCGUAAACGAUGAGUGCUAAGUGUUGGGAGGUUUCCGCCUCUCAGUGCUGCAGCUAACGCAUUAAGCACUCC